UACGGAAGGUGCAAGCGUUGUUCGGAAUGACUGGGCGUAAAGCGCACGUAGGCGGGUUCGUAAGUCGGAUGUGAAAGCCCCGGGCUUAACCUGGGAAUUGCACCCGAAACUACGAAUCUUGAAUGCUUGAGAGGUUGGUGGAAUUCCUGGUGUAGGAGUGAAAUCCGUAGAUAUCAGGAGGAACAUCGGCGGCGAAGGCGGCCAACUGGUGAUGCAUUGACGCUGAGGUGCGAAAGCGUGGGGAGCAAACAGG
RNAcentral lists this unclassified non-coding RNA (253 nucleotides) under uncultured Oligoflexaceae bacterium. RNAcentral describes it as "contains 16S-23S intergenic spacer region". It matches the Rfam family "Bacterial small subunit ribosomal RNA", at positions 524 to 776 of the family's 1533-position model. The record is from RNAcentral. Lineage: Bacteria; Pseudomonadati; Bdellovibrionota; Oligoflexia; Oligoflexales; Oligoflexaceae.